GAUGAAGAACGCAGCGAAAUGCGAUAAGUAAUGUGAAUUGCAGAAUUCAGUGAAUCAUCGAAUCUUUGAACGCACCUUGCGCCCUUUGGCCAUUCCGAAGGGCAUGCCUGUUUGAGUAUCAUGAACACCUCAACUCUCAUGGCUCGCCAUGAUGAGCUUGGAUUUGGGGGUCUUGCUAGCCUGUGGUCGGCUCCUCUCAAAUGGAUCAGCUUGCCAGUGUUUGGUGGCAUCACAGGUGUGAUAACUAUCUGCGCUUGUGGUUUUCCAUCAGAUAACCUUCAGUGAUGGAGGUUCGCUGGAGCUCAUAAACGUCUCCCCUAAGCGGGGACAGCCCUUUGAAUGUUUGAUCUCAAAUCAGGUAGGACUACCCGCUGAACUUAAGCAUAUCAAUAAGCGGAGGA
RNAcentral lists this unclassified non-coding RNA (401 nucleotides) under soil metagenome. Its description in RNAcentral is "partial contains 5.8S ribosomal RNA, internal transcribed spacer 2, and large subunit ribosomal RNA". The stretch from base 1 to 121 matches the Rfam family "5.8S ribosomal RNA", at positions 35 to 154 of the family's 154-position model. The record is from RNAcentral.